RNAcentral lists this ribosomal RNA (484 nucleotides) under uncultured bacterium. Its description in RNAcentral is "partial 16S ribosomal RNA". It matches the Rfam family "Bacterial small subunit ribosomal RNA", at positions 30 to 507 of the family's 1533-position model. The record is from RNAcentral.
AUUGAACGCUGGCGGCAGGCCUAACACAUGCAAGUCGAGCGGAUGAAGGGAGCUUGCUCCUGGAUUCAGCGGCGGACGGGUGAGUAAUGCCUAGGAAUCUGCCUGGUAGUGGGGGAUAACGUCCGGAAACGGGCGCUAAUACCGCAUACGUCCUGAGGGAGAAAGUGGGGGAUCUUCGGACCUCACGCUAUCAGAUGAGCCUAGGUCGGAUUAGCUAGUUGGUGGGGUAAAGGCCUACCAAGGCGACGAUCCGUAGCUGGUCUGAGAGGAUGAUCAGUCACACUGGAACUGAGACACGGUCCAGACUCCUACGGGAGGCAGCAGUGGGGAAUAUUGGACAAUGGGCGAAAGCCUGAUCCAGCCAUGCCGCGUGUGUGAAGAAGGUCUUCGGAUUGUAAAGCACUUUAAGUUGGGAGGAAGGGCAGUAAGUUAAUACCUUGCUGUUUUGACGUUACCAACAGAAUAAGCCCCGGCUAACUUCGUG